CACUAAUACAUCAAGCAUAUAGUGAACAGAUCCACUGAAGCAAUGUCCACACCAACUUACAUAUAGAGCAUGUUGAGACAUAUACUGAGGCUGUGUUUUCAGAGCAAAUAAAGAACACAAACUGAGCCGAGACUUCCGAUCAUCUCAUACGUAGACAAUAUACUGGAUACAUAUACUGAGGCUGUGUCCCCAUAGUAACUCAUACAUAGAGCAUAUAGUGGGUACAUAUACUGAGGCUGUGUCCUCAUAGUAACUCAUACACAGAGCAUAAAGCGCAUACAUAAACUGAGGCUGUGUCUCCAUAGUAACUCAUACAUAUGGCCUAUAGUGGACACAUAUACUGAGGCCAUGUCCUCAUAGUAAUUCAUACACAGAGCAUAUAGUGCAUACAUAAACGGAGGCUGUGUCUCCAUAGUAACUCAUACAUAU
Molecule: non-coding RNA, 429 nt
Organism: Pelobates cultripes (western spadefoot toad)
Lineage: Eukaryota; Metazoa; Chordata; Amphibia; Anura; Pelobatidae
Source: the annotation of a GenBank genome assembly